Phasianus colchicus (ring-necked pheasant) is the source of this 1250-nucleotide non-coding RNA. The record is from RefSeq and is a predicted model, not a curated record. NCBI's taxonomy places the organism in Eukaryota, Metazoa, Chordata, Aves, Galliformes, Phasianidae.
AUUCACUCUGCUGGAGUUUUCUAAGUGAGCCUAUGGUAUGGUACAGACUGCAAGACACUCUGUAUCCAGGUUCUGUCAGGUUUUCACAGAGUAACUCAGAUUAUUGACAGAACAUGUAUAGCAUACUACUUUCUGUACAGCGAUAUCCUGUGUACUGUAUGUCCUCUGACAGCAUCUAGAAGUUCCUGCUAGGAACUAUCUGGUGGAAAGGGAAGCCUUGGGAAUAAAGUACUGAGAAAAUCCCAAGAUGAGCUAAAGGAACAAAGAGAACUACAUCUGGAAAACCGAGAGGUCUCCAUGCUUUGAAGAAGUCUACCAACUGUCAGAAAGAAAAAAGGAUAUAGAACAACACAGCAUUAAUAACUUAUUUUCCUAUCCAAAUCCAGUAUAGAUUAUUUAAAAAGAAUUAAAACAGCAAUUAAGGUGUCAACGUUAAGUCACAGGUAAGCAUGAUCAAAUGCUACUAGGGAGCUUAGAAUCAAUGAGAGUGAAAUAGCUUAGGAAAGAAUACCAUUAGAGGAGGUGGAAAUCACAGAUUUCAGUUUGUUCUGCAAAGGGAAAAUGGAGACAGCAGGGAAAUAACAGUUGAAGAAGAAGCAGUGGAUGUGAAAUGAAUGAGCAGCAAGCAGACUUGAUUUGAGAAAACAAAGGAAAGCAUACAGAAAUAGAUGAAUAAAGUAGUACUUGUUUAGAAAUGAAUCAGGUGAGAUGCACAGCUAGACCCAAAACAACAAAACAUUUAUUUCCCCAUAUCUCUUUCCCAUUUCUCUUCAGAUUCCACUUUCAGACCAAUAUUUAUACGAUUCAGAAUUGUUGUACCUACACCAUAUAAUCUGAGGCUGAAAGAGGCAGAGGGCUAACUGUGAGUGACUGAUGGAGCACUUCUAGACAGCUAAAUAUCUCGUUCCUAUAGAAGAAGUUUCAACUGAAAUUUAUAGCUUUAUACAUCAAAUUGAUUUAAGGUAAAAAGCUGUAGUAAUAUGAAAACUGCCAACAGUAAUUUUCUUUCUUCCUUCUGCUAGUUAGGAACAAAUAUGAAAACAUUCUAAAAUACGAAAUGAGCCCUUUGUUGGUGAGAGUAUUGCAAUUACUUCUCAUUGAGGCACCAUAACAGAAACUCUUUCCUGCAUUUCUCUUUCCCUUUGAGACUGAACACCAGGGUAUGUCUUUUCAUAUUGGCAUUUUUUAUGGUAAUAAAAUAAUUUGUCAUCUUGGACACUUUGUACCCCACCUGUGUAGGCAAAAAAAAA